Molecule: ribosomal RNA, 253 nt
Filed under: uncultured bacterium
Lineage: Bacteria
Description: partial 16S ribosomal RNA
Rfam family: Bacterial small subunit ribosomal RNA
Source: RNAcentral
UACGUAGGGUGCAAGCGUUGUCCGGAAUUAUUGGGCGUAAAGAGCUCGUAGGCGGUUUGUCGCGUCGGCCGUGAAAACCUGCCGCUUAACGGUGGGCGUGCGGUCGAUACGGGCAGACUUGAGUUCGGUAGGGGAGACUGGAAUUCCUGGUGUAGCGGUGAAAUGCGCAGAUAUCAGGAGGAACGCCGGUGGCGAAGGCGGGUCUCUGGUCUGUAACUGACGCUGAGGCGCGAAAGCGUGGGGAGCAAACAGG